GGAGUUAGCUAGGUAAUCGCUGCUUUGGCAGAGGAAAGUCCGGGCUCCAUAGGGCAGAGUGCCAGGUAACGCCUGGGGGGCGUGAGCCCACGGCAAGUGCAACAGAAAGAAAACCGCCAAGUUUUCUUGGUAAGGGUGAAACGGUGCGGUAAGAGCGCACCGCGCAGCUGGUAACAGUUGUGGCAAGGUAAACCCCACUCGGAGCAAGACCAAAUAGGAACUCGAUGACUGCGGCCCGCAGGUGAGUUCGGGUAGGUUGCUAUAGGUGUUUGGCGACAGACAUCACAGAUGAAUGAUUAUCCUCGACAGAACCCGGCUUAUUGCUAACUCCCAUU
Molecule: RNase P RNA, 335 nt
Filed under: Pseudomonadales bacterium
Lineage: Bacteria; Pseudomonadati; Pseudomonadota; Gammaproteobacteria; Pseudomonadales
Description: RNase P RNA component class A
Rfam family: Bacterial RNase P class A
About the family: Ribonuclease P (RNase P) is a ubiquitous endoribonuclease, found in archaea, bacteria and eukarya as well as chloroplasts and mitochondria. Its best characterised activity is the generation of mature 5'-ends of tRNAs by cleaving the 5'-leader elements of precursor-tRNAs. Cellular RNase Ps are ribonucleoproteins.
Source: RNAcentral